This 496-nucleotide long non-coding RNA is filed under the name Gigantopelta aegis. RNAcentral describes it as "uncharacterized LOC121375593". The record is from RNAcentral. Lineage: Eukaryota; Metazoa; Mollusca; Gastropoda; Neomphalida; Peltospiridae.
CAGGCUUUGCAUGUGUUGGAAAGUUAUGACAACGUGGUCGAGAUAUGUAGGAUUUGGCGUGGACAGCUGGGGUUUUAGUUUUGUUUGUUGGUGGUUUUGAAGCUGAGAUGGUUGCCAUAGCCAUGAGAGGUAGACGAGUUCGGGAGACGAACAGACGUCACAGCCAUUAGUGAUUUUGCAGUUUGAGAUGGGAACUGUCGUUGAUUUGGAGAAACAUAGAAAAUGGAAUAGUGGAACAGAUUUGUGACCAUGAAGUCAACAUGAGCAUUUGGACACUUGGGAUGUAUAGUGAACUUUUGACAGUUAAUUUUAAACACCCUGAAUAAGAGCAUUGUUUGAUUUUAAUUAACUAUUUAUUUUUGAUUGUGAAAGGUUGAAAUUAAUGUUGUAGAAUUGUCAAUUUAAAAGGGGGAACAUAACUUUGUAAUUUGGUACCAUGAAGCUUUGUUAAACCUGUGUUUUUGUUUAUUUUAUUUUAAUAUAUUUAUAUUAACUC